RNAcentral lists this ribosomal RNA (1475 nucleotides) under Micrococcineae bacterium Gb11. RNAcentral describes it as "partial 16S ribosomal RNA". It matches the Rfam family "Bacterial small subunit ribosomal RNA", at positions 1 to 1327 of the family's 1533-position model. The record is from RNAcentral. Lineage: Bacteria; Bacillati; Actinomycetota; Actinomycetes; Micrococcales.
CAUCCAUUACUGCUCGCUAGGGCAGCUGUGACGAGCUCUCGUAGUCAACCUUCCGCUUUGAGGUGUACCCCGCUCUCUGCGAUGAUUCCUUUUAGAGAGAGUUGCCCUCAGAUGAACGCUGCGCGUGCUUACCAUGCAGUCGACGUGAGCAGAGCUGCUCUGUGAUCAGUGGCGACGGUGAGUACACGUGAGCAUCUGCCCUGACUCUGGGAUAGCGCUGAAACGGCGUCUAAUACCGGAUACGAGCUGCGACCGCAUGGUCAGUAGCUGGAAAGAAUUUCGGUCAGGGAUGAGCUCGCGGCCUAUCAGCUUGUUGGUGAGGUAAUGGCUCACCAAGGCGUCGACGGGUAGCCGGCCUGAGAGGGUGACCGGCCACACUGGGACUGAGACACGGCCCAGACUCCUACGGGAGGCAGCAGUGGGGAAUAUUGCAUYAUAGKGGGCGCAAGCCCUKAUGCAGCAACSCCGCGUGAKGGAUGACGGCCUUYGGGUUKUAAACCUCUUUUASCMGGGAAGAAGCGAAAGUGACGGUACCUGCCAGAAAAAGCGYCGGCUAACUACGUGCCAGCAGCCGCGGUAAUACGUAGGGCGCAAGCGUUAUCCGGAAUUAUUGGGCGUAAAGAGCUCGUAKGCGGUYUGUCGCGUCUGCUGUGAAAACCCGAGGCUUCAACCUCGGGCCUGCMSUGGGUACGGGCAGACUAGAGUGCGGUAGGGGAGAUUGGAAUUCCUGGUGUAGCGGUGGAAUGCGCAGAUAUCAKGAGGAACACCGAUGGCGAAGGCAGAUCUCUGGGCCGUAACUGACGCUGAGGAGCGAAAGGGUGGGGAGCAAACARGCUUAGAUACCCUGGUAGUCCACCCCGUAAACGUUGGGAACUAGUUGUGGGGYCCAUUCCACGGAUUCCGUGACGCAGCUAACGCAUUAWGUUCCCCGCCUGGGGAGUACCGGCCGCAAGGCUAUCACUCAGAGGAUUUGACGGGGACCCGCACAAUCGGCGGAGCAUGCGGAUUAAUUCGAUGCAACGCGAAGAACCUUACCUAGGCUUGACAUAUAGAGGAAACGUCUGGCAACAGUCGCCCCGCAAGGUCUCUAUACAAGUGGUGCAUGGUUUGUCGUCAGCUCGUGUCGCGAGAUGUUGGGUUAAGUCCCGCCAACGAGCGCAACUCUCGUUCUAUGUUGCCAGCACGCAAUGAUGGCAACUCUUGUGAUACUGCCCCGGGUCAACUACGGACGAAUGUAGUUGAUGACGUCCAAUUCAUCAUGGCCCCUUUAUGAUUUGGGGCCUACACACAUGCUUACAUGGGCCCGCUACCAAAGGCCUGCUCCAUCACCGUUGAAGGUUGGAAGCGAAAUCCCAAAAAACGCGUGUCCCUAGCUUAAGGAUAUGAGAAGUUCUGAUCUUCAGACCGCCAAGGAACGUCUGCACCCACUCUAGAAUAUCUGCUGAAUUCAGACCCACUGCUGUACGAGUGAUGAU